Molecule: ribosomal RNA, 253 nt
Filed under: uncultured bacterium
Lineage: Bacteria
Description: partial 16S ribosomal RNA
Rfam family: Bacterial small subunit ribosomal RNA
Source: RNAcentral
UACGGAGGGUGCAAGCGUUGUUCGGAAUUACUGGGCGUAAAGAGCGUGUAGGCGGCUGACCAAGUCCGGUGUGAAAGCCCGGGGCUUACCCCCGGAAGUGCGCUGGAAACUGUUCGACUAGAUUAUGGGAGAGGGAAGUGGAAUUCCUGGUGUAGCGAUGAAAUGCGUAGAUAUCAGGAGGAACACCGGCGGCUAAUGCGGCUUCCUGGACCAAUACUGACGCUGAGACUCGAAAGCGUGGGGAGCAAACAGU